UGGAUAAGGCAUGCAAGUCGAACGGUCCGCAAGGACAGUGGCAGACGAGGUAGUAACACGUACGAACGUACUUCCAAGUCGGGCAUAGCUCGCCGAAAGGCGGGGUAAUUCCCGAUAGUCCCUACGGGGUAAAGAUUUAUCGCUUGGAAAGCGGCGUGCGCAGUAUCAGCUUGUUGGUAGUGUAACGGACUACCAAGGCUACGACGCUUAGGGGAGCUGAGAGGCUGACCCCCACCGAUGGGACUGAGACACGGCCCAUACUCCUACGGGAGGCCGCAGUCGAGAAUCUUCCGCAAUGGACGAAAGUCUGACGGAGCGAUACAGCGUGAUGGAUGAAGUGCUUCGGUACGUAAACAUC
Molecule: ribosomal RNA, 358 nt
Filed under: uncultured organism
Description: bacterial SSU rRNA
Rfam family: Bacterial small subunit ribosomal RNA
Source: RNAcentral